GGGGUUGUGGCUCAGUGGUAGAGUGCUUGCCUAGCACAUAUGAUGCAUUGGGUUCAAACCUCAGCAGUACCA
Molecule: non-coding RNA, 72 nt
Organism: Ictidomys tridecemlineatus (thirteen-lined ground squirrel)
Lineage: Eukaryota; Metazoa; Chordata; Mammalia; Rodentia; Sciuridae
Source: Rfam